UACGUAGGGUCCGAGCGUUGUCCGGAUUUAUUGGGCGUAAAGAGCUCGUAGGCGGCUCAGUAAGUCAGAUGUGAAAACUCAGGGCUCAACCCGGAGACGCCAUCUGAUACUGCUGUGGCUUGAGUCUGGUAGGGGAUCACGGAAUUCCUGGUGUAGCGGUGAAAUGCGCAGAUAUCAGGAGGAACACCGAUGGCGAAGGCAGUGAUCUGGGCCAGUACUGACGCUGAGGAGCGAAAGCGUGGGUAGCAAACAGGAUUAGAUACCCCCGUAGUCC
This 274-nucleotide ribosomal RNA is filed under the name uncultured bacterium. RNAcentral describes it as "partial 16S ribosomal RNA". It matches the Rfam family "Bacterial small subunit ribosomal RNA", at positions 524 to 796 of the family's 1533-position model. The record is from RNAcentral.